UGAUGUUUUUCAUGGAUGGCGUCGUGGAUUUGGCGUGAUUGAAGGCAGUUUGUGGAUUCGAAUCGUGGGCUCGUGGGUUCAAGUGGCGUUCGUGGAUUCGGACGUGUGCAAGGCGUUCGUGGAUUCGAACGUGAGGGCGUGGACAACCCAAAGGAUUGCGCGAGAUUCGUAAGAGGUUAAGAGAGGUCGAGUCCGUGGAGUCGGUAAUCACCUUGUAAUCUUUGCUCUUAGUGAAUUGCUUUUUUUUUCGCGUGUUGGUCUCGUGGGUUUUUCUCCAAGUUAGAGUUUUUCCACGUAAAUCUCGGUGUGAUUUUUAUUUUCUGCAUUUAUUUUUAUCGCAUUGAGAU
This 347-nucleotide long non-coding RNA is filed under the name Ananas comosus (pineapple). RNAcentral's name for it is "long non-coding RNA (ACOM_LNC005520)". The record is from RNAcentral. Lineage: Eukaryota; Viridiplantae; Streptophyta; Magnoliopsida; Poales; Bromeliaceae.